GACUGGAGAUGCAGGCAGGGCUGCCGCGGCGCUCGCUGUCUGCCCAGGGCACCCAGGACGCAGGAAGUUCUCUUUCAGUCUUGGAAUACCGCAGUCUUGCAAACAAGGACCAGACUGCUGGCCGGUGAGUGGUGCUCUGGGAUGGCGGUUGCCCAGAAACACGUGUGGCCCGAGGAACUUUGAACACCUGGACUGCAGGCACCUGGGAAGCGGGAGGAUGGGAAGACAGGCGGCUGACAGGCUGGGUCCUGCCCCGUGCCCGUCCAAACGCAUCGGCUGGCAUGUGGCUCUUUCUUUCCCAGUGUUAAAGAAAUCUUCUGUCAAUGUGGGAGACGCAGGAGAUCCCAGGACAUCGACGCAGGUUCAGUCCCACGGAAGACCCCUUGGAGGAGGCAAUGGCAACCCACUCCAGUAUGCUUGCCUGGAGAAUCCCACGGACAGAGGAGCCUGGCGGGCUAUAGCCCAUAGGGUCGCAAAGAGUUGGACAUGACUGAGCAACUAAGCAUGCACACCCAUGAAGAUGGUAUUAAAGGUGAGGGUUUGGCCAUUUGGGGGAAUAACUCAGUUUUCCUGGGUCUCUCCCAAAUACACAUUUUUUUUUUUUUACUUUUUACUUUUGUUUGAUUUUCUCCUGUUAAUCUGUCUCAUGUCAGUUUAAUUCUUAGACCAGCAAAAAGAACCUAAAAGGAUAGAGAAAAAUUUCCUCCUCCCUGACACAUACAUGCAACAGAUGCUUGUUGAAUAUCUCCUAUGUGUUCCAUAACAUCUUAUGGAAAAACCCAAACAAACGUUUUUGGCCAACCCAGUAUCAUGCCUGAUAGUGGCUGUUGCCCUUGGGGGACCUACUUGGUGCCAACUAUUGUUUUAAGCAUCUCAUAUGAACUAAUUUGUUCGGCUCCCUUUACAGCCUAUGAGGUGGAUACUGUCGUCUCCUUUUAUGGGCAUACUGAGGUACAGAGAAGCUGAGAAAUUUGGGAAAGUUCCACAACUAGAGGUUGAAAAAAUUGUGAACGUUCCACCGCUAGCUAAGUUGUAUUCUCCCCAAAUUCAUCUAGGUUUCACUGAAGUCUUAACCCCUCAGAAUGUGACUGUUGGACUUUGGGUCUUAAGAGGAGUAAUUAAAGUAAAAAUGAGCUCAUUAGGUUUUCCUAGAAGAAGAGGAGGUUAGGACACACAUACAGUUGCGUAUGUGUGACAUGACACAAGGAGAUGUCCCUCAAGAAUCCAAGGAAAAAGCCUCAGAAGAGACUCACCCCGCUGACACCUUGAUCUUGGGACUUCCAGCCUCCAGAAUUGUGAGACAGUUUCUGUUGCGUGAGCCGCCCAUCUGUGUUCCUUUGUUCCUCAGUCCAAACAGUCUGACACAGAGAUGCAGCACCUGGAUGUGGAUCCAGGCAGCUUGGAGUGUCUGUCGUAACCACCAAGCUCUCUCCAUAGGUGCUGGAGGCAUCCUAGCUCCCAACAAAGCCUCUCUCCUUGUGGUCAUAAGAGAGACUGAAUGGGACUUGGAAAGAGAACAUUCUUCUUCUUUUUAAAAAUUUUUAUUUAUUUUAUUUUGGCUGCACUGGGUCUUCAUCUCAAUGUACAGGCUUUCUCUAAUUGUGGCACAGGAGCUCUCUAACCAUGGCACGUGGGCUUGGUUGCCCCAUAGCAUGUGGGAUCUUAGUCUCCCUUCAGGAGACUGAACCCGUUCAGGAGCUGAACCCGUGUACCCUACCUUGGGAGGCAGAUUCUUAACCACUGGACCACCAGGAAAGUCCCCGAGAACAACAUUCUUAAUGAAUGAUUUAGUGUUACUAAUUGCAUUCCUAUGUAUCUCAUGAAAGAAACCAUCACCAGGACUGCCAGGGUGUAUGGAUCUCACUUUGGGAAGUAUAAACUGGACCGGUUAGGACCAGCCUGGGUCCCUGACAACCCCCAGGCCCCAGUUCCCCAGUGGUCGGCUCUCUCAGGCUUUUGCAGGAUAGCUGAGCAUCUCCAGAUUCUCCAGACCAGCACUUAGCUCUACUGAUCUGUGUGAACUAGACCACCAAAAGCCGUCUCUCUCUGGGAUCCCACCACGUGAACCAGCCCCUCAUGGAGGGGGCAAGGCUUCUCCAUCUAACGUGUAUCUUCUGGAGAUCCUGCUUCAGUUCGGUCUGGGUGGGUCCUGAGAUGCCACAUCUCUGACAAGCUCCCAGGUGAUGCUGAUGCUGUUGGCAGGGAGGGAGGGUGACUCAGGAUCCGGGCUCAUGUGAAGACUUCAACAGAUGCUGUGGGUCCCCUCCACGCACCAGAAGCCAGUGGUUGGAGAGAAGGUUACUCCUCCUGGGAGUGGGAAAGUUUAGAAAUCAUUUUCAGAAAAAACCAAAACAUUUCCUUACUUAAUCUACCAAAGGGCUCAUUUGCAAGUUUUCUGGCCCCCAAAUCUGGGAUCUGCCAUGAAAGAGGUCCUGGAGUUGGCUGGUUCUAAGCCAUUGGAGCAGGGUCUAGUAGAUUUUCAUACUCCUGAAGCCAAGAGUAAGACUGGGAGCCUUGGCUUAAGCUCUUCGAGUGAUGCAGAAUUGAGGUGAGCUGGGGAGGCCCCUAUAGCUGUGUGGGGAGAGGAUGAACAAAUACUGAUGAGUGCUCAAUGCCUUCUCCUUCUCUGAGAAUCUUACACUCUGAGUUCUGACACUCCACACUCCAAUUCAUCGCAUGAUCCCAGACAAGAUUUGAGCAUUCAUUCCAGAAUCUUCCAACUCCUUCCUCAAGGAUCACCCACUUUCCAGGAUCAAAAGACACCUCUUCAGAGAGGCCUUCCUUUCUUAGACCCCCAUGACUAUUCUGUCUGAUACAACUCCUUCCCCUGGUCUGUUGUUAGACUGUCUUACAAUUUUUUUAUACUGUGAUCACUAAUUUUUUUUCACUUCCUUCAUAGCAAUUGCCACACCUUGAAAUUACAUGUUUGUUUCUUUAUUUAUUUAUCUCAUGGCUCCUCCACCAAAUUGUACCUUCUACUGGGUUGAGGACCAUGUCAUUUUCAUCCAUCCAUAUCGUCCGUCUCCCAGCACUGUAUGGAGCCUGGCCCUUGAGAGGCCCUAGAUAAAUAGCUGUUGGAUGAAGAAAUAAGGAUACCAUCACUUCUGAACUUUAACAUACAUAUGAUUCAUCUGGGGAUUUUGUUAAAAUGCAGAUUCUGAUUCAACCAGUCUGGAUGGGGCCUAAGAGUCUGCAUUUUUUUUUUUUGACUGCUCUGCGUCUUCGUUGAUGCAAGAGGGCUUUCGCUAGUUGUGGUGAGUGGAGGCUACUGUAGUUGCAGUGAGUGGGCUUCUCAUUGCAGCAGCUUCUCUUGUUGCAGAGCACUGGCUCUAGAUCACAGGCUCAGUA
Long non-coding RNA from Cervus elaphus (red deer), 3348 nucleotides. RefSeq lists it as uncharacterized. The transcript has 3 exons. The record is from RefSeq and is a predicted model, not a curated record. Lineage: Eukaryota; Metazoa; Chordata; Mammalia; Artiodactyla; Cervidae.